GAUGAACGCUGGCGGCGUGCCUAAUACAUGCAAGUCGAGCGAACAGACGAGGAGCUUGCUCCUCUGACGUUAGCGGCGGACGGGUGAGUAACACGUGGAUAACCUACCUAUAAGACUGGGAUAACUUCGGGAAACCGGAGCUAAUACCGGAUAAUAUAUUGAACCGCAUGGUUCAAUAGUGAAAGACGGUUUUGCUGUCACUUAUAGAUGGAUCCGCGCCGCAUUAGCUAGUUGGUAAGGUAACGGCUUACCAAGGCAACGAUGCGUAGCCGACCUGAGAGGGUGAUCGGCCACACUGGAACUGAGACACGGUCCAGACUCCUACGGGAGGCAGCAGUAGGGAAUCUUCCGCAAUGGGCGAAAGCCUGACGGAGCAACGCCGCGUGAGUGAUGAGGGUCUUCGGAUCGUAAAACUCUGUUAUUAGGGAAGAACAAAUGUGUAAGUAACUAUGCACGUCUUGACGGUACCUGAUCAGAAAGCCACGGCUAACUACGUG
Molecule: ribosomal RNA, 497 nt
Filed under: uncultured bacterium
Lineage: Bacteria
Description: partial 16S ribosomal RNA
Rfam family: Bacterial small subunit ribosomal RNA
Source: RNAcentral